This 8237-nucleotide long non-coding RNA is filed under the name Sus scrofa (pig). RNAcentral describes it as "lncRNA (ENSSSCG00030004623.1)". The record is from RNAcentral. Lineage: Eukaryota; Metazoa; Chordata; Mammalia; Artiodactyla; Suidae.
GGGAGUCAGCUUCAGACAGAUCCAGAUCCCAGUCCUGUUCUGCUUCUCCCCGGCUGGUGACCAAGCAAGUUGCUUGCCCUGGCGGAGGCUCCACGUGCUAAGUGUGGACACGGCAGUCCCUUCUUCACGAGGCAGUGGUGAGCGGACUGGUGUGAGGCGUCCCCAGGCAGUAGCCGGUGCUCCUGCCUUCCCAGUCUGUGAGCGUGGACGCAUGUCUCUGCGGGUGGUGUGGCCAUCGUGCAUGCUCACUGAAAUGUCACUCCAGUGAUGGUCUGAUCGCAAUGCUGCAUCUUGUGCUAGGCGCACGUGCCCAGGGAUCUCCCAUGGAUAAAUUCCUAGCAGUAGAAAUGUACAACUAAAGGAUAAUUAAAAUGUUUUGAAAUGUGUGAACUUUUAAUUACCAGAGUACUUCCAGAAAGGUAAGCUACCACCCAGAGCACCUGCCUUUCCCUUUAUGCUCAGACCUGUUGAAGGUGCCUUGUUCCACUUUUAUUCUUUUGAUUAUUCUAAAGCUGAACAUCUUGUAUACUUUUAAUUUUUUGAAUUUUUAAAAUUUUAUAUUAUACUGGAGUAUAGUUGCUUUCCAGUGUUGUUUCAGGUGUACAGCAGAGUGACUCAGUUAUACAUAUAUAUGUAUCCGUUCUUUUUUCAGAUUCUUUGCCCAUAUAGGUUAUUACGGAAUAUUGAGUUUCUGUGCCAUCAGGAGGCCCUUGUUAGUUGCCUGUUUUGUAUGCAGUAGUGUGUAUAUGUUAAUCCCAACCUCCUCAUUGACUCCUCCCUUGCUAUCUUUCCCCUUUGAUAACAAGAAGUUUGAUUUUGAGGUCUAUUGAGUCUGUUUCUGUUUUGUUUUUCUUUUUAGGGUUGUAGCAGCAGCAUAUGGAAGUUCCCAGGCUAGGGGCUGAAUCGAAGCUGCAGCUGCCGGCCCAUGCCACAGCCACAGCCACAGCAGCCACACAGGAUCUGAGCCUCGUCUGCGACCUACACCACAGCUCACAGCAAUGCUAGAUCCUUAACCCACUGAGUAGGGCCAGGGAUUGAAUGCACAUCCUCAUGGGUACUAGUCAGGUUCAUUGCUGCUGUGCUACAAUGGGAACUGUUUUGUAAAUGAGUUCACUUUUAGCAUUUGAAAAUUAGAUUUAACAUUUACGUGAUAUCAUGUUUGUCUUUCUCUGAUCUCACACAGUAUGAUAAUCUCUAGGUCUGUUCAUGUUGCCGUAACUGGUAUUUUGUUCUGUUUAAUGGCUGAGUAAUAGUCCAUUGUACAAAUGUGCCACAUCUUCCCCCCCCGGCCCCGCCCCAAUGGCUCUGGCCACGGCAUAUGGAAGUUCCCAGGCCAGGGACUGAAUCUGAGCCACAGUGCAACCUACACCACAGCUGUGGUAACACAGAUUCCUUUAACCCACUGAGCAGGGCUGGGAAUGAAACCCAAGCCUCCACAACAAGCUGAGGUGUGGCAGUUGGAUUCUUAAUUAACCCACUGUGCCAUAGCAGGAACUCCUGUACCACAUCUUAUCCCUCUGUUUUCUCAGGACAUUCAGGUUGUUUCCACGUCUCAGCUAUCAUAAACACUGCCGCAGUGAACACUGGGGUGCCUGUUUCAUUUCGGAUUAGGGUUUUCUCCAGACAUAUGCCCAGAGUGGGAUGACUGGAUCACAUGCUAACUACUUUUAGUUUUUUAAGGAACCUCCACAUUGUUCUCCAGGGUGAUUUGAACUAUUUCACAUUCCCAGCAAUGGUAUAGGAGGGUUCCCUCUUCUCCACACCCUCUCCAGCAUUUGUUUCUAGACUUUUUGAUGAUGGCCAUUCUGACCCAGUGCGAGGUGAUUCCUCAUUGUAGUUUUGAUUUGCAUUUCUCUAAUAAUUAAUGAUGCUGAGUAUCAUUUCAUGUACUUUUUGGCCAUCUGUCUGUCUUCGAGGAAAUGUCUAGAUCUUCUGCCCAUUUUUUGAUUGGGUUGGUUGUUUUUUUCUCAUACUGAGCUGCAUGAGCUGUUUGUGUAUUUUGGAGAUUAAUCCCUUGAGUCACUUUGUUUGCAAGUAUUUUCUCCCAUUCUGUGAGCUGUCUUUUCAUUGCUUCUCGAUUUCCUUUGCUGUUUAAAAAGCUUUUAAUUAGGUUCCUUUGUUUAUUUUUGUCUUUAUUUUCAUUACACUUGACGGUAGAUCAGGAAGAACAGUGCUGCUAUUUAUGAGUUUUAUAGUAUCUGGCCUUGCAUUUUUAUACGUUAAUUCAUGCUUCUACUUCUGUGACUUCAAAUGCUGGAUGGACUAAGUGUUUUUAAUAUACAAUUUAUUUUAACUCAUAUCUUGCAGGGUUUUUUUGAAAAAAAAAAUGCAGUAGUCCUUUGGUUUCAUUUUUAGUAGGUAGGGGGUCUACAGAAGUUAAAAAAUCUUACGUAGUGAAAUCUACUUGCCUUUUUUCUUUUUGCUGCUUGUUCUGAAAUUGAGUCCUGGCUUCCCCAGUGGAGGUGACAAAGCUGCCCUCAUCCUUGCUCACGAUAGAGUGUCAUGCUGUGCCCUUGCUGAGGGGCUGCACUAGGGCACCCACCAGCAGGCCUGGCACUUUGCACACACUGGGUUCCUGCCUUUGCUCUCACACUGGGGGGUUAUUUUAAAGAUACUCAUCUCUUGCAGUUGUCCUUGUGGCUCAGCAGAAAUGAACCUGACUAGUAUCCAUGAAGACUCAAGUUUGAUCCCUGGCCUCACUCAGUGGGUUGAGGAGCCAGCAUUGCCUUCAGCUGUGGUGUAGGUCACAGCCAGCAGCUACAGCUCCGAUUCGACCUCUGGCUUAGGAACCCCCAUAUGCCGCAGGUGCGGCCCUAAAAAAACAAAAAAAAAAAUUGUUUUAUUUCUAGUACUUUUAUGGUAUCAGUUUUUCAUUUAAAGCAAUUCACCUGGAAUCAUCUUGCAUGAGGUACGUGUUGUAUUUAGAAUCUGCUCUGGGGGUGUGACUCUCCUCUGAGCGUGCCUGAGUGGUGCUUCUCUGAAGAUAAGCAAGAGGAGACAUGCCCGAACACCAGACAGGGUCACCACGUGCUUCCUACAGCUCCUCAACACCAUCCUGGUUUCCAGCCUCUGCUUGUGGGGGACUCCGUCCAGCCUGGCAGCUUGGUUCUAGGGGCAGCGACUGGAAGGUUCGGAUUGGAGGAAGGUAAGGUGCUGGCAGUUGGAGUUCCCUAUUUGUAAUUUUGCUGAGGACAGAAAUGAUCAGGUUUUUUUAAGCAUUUUAUUUUUAUCAGAGUAUAGUUGACUUUAAAAUGAUCAGCUAUUCAAAGGGCCAUCACUUUCUUACAGGCUGUUCUAACAGUUCUCCUCUCUGUUUUGUUUAAUUUUUUUUUUUUAAUUGUCUGUGUUUUCGAGGGCCGCUUCUCAAAGCAUAUGGAGGUUCCCAGGCUAGGGGUCCAAUCGGAGCUGUUGACACCAACCUACGCCAGAGCCACAGCAACGCAGGAUCCGAGCCGCGUCUGCAACCUACACCACAGCUCACGGCAACGCCGGAUCGUUAACCCACUGAGCAAGGGCAGGGAUUGAACCCGCAACCUCAUGGUUCCUAGUCGGAUUCAUUAACCACUGCGCCACGACGGGAACUCCCAGUUUCAUAAUUUUUUAAUUGACAUAUAAUUGAUUUACAAUGUUGUGUUGAUUUCUGGUGCUUUUAAAGUGACUCAGUUACUUGUAUAUGUUCUUUUUCAUUAUAGGUGAGUUAUUGAAUAGAGUUUCCUGUGCUAUACAGUAGGACACUAUUAUUUAUUUUCUACAUAGUAGUGUCUACAAAUCUGAGACCGACUUCACCCCUCCUGUGCCCUCCCCUCUUGGUUUAAUCAGAGGGUGGUUUUCUAUAUCUGAGUUUGUUUUGUGACUAACUUCAAUUGUGUCACUUUUUAGAUUCCACAUGUAAAUGAUAUAGUAUUUGUCUGACUUAUUUCCCUUAGUAUGAUCAUCUCUAGGUCCAUUCGUGUUGCUGCAGAUGGCAUUAUUUCAUUCUUUUCUAUGGCUAACAUCCCAGUGUGUGUGUACACACAUACUGAUCCAUUCCCCUGUUGAUGGAUGUUUAGGUUGCCUCCAUGUCUUGGAUAGUAUAACUGGUGCUAUGAACGCUGGGGUACAUGUAUCUUUUUGAAUUAUGGUUUCCUCCAAAGGUAUGCCCAGGAGUGGGAUUGCUGGAUUAUAUUGUAACUUCAGUUCUUUAAAGAACCUCCAUACUGUUUUCCAUAAUUGCUGUAACAAUUUACAUUUCCCUCUGUUCUUUAAUGACAAUAUCAAACAACAGGUGGAAGACAUUUUUAUUUUACUUUUAUUUUUUCGGCUGCACUCAUGGCAUAUGGAGGUUCCCAGGCCAGGGACUGAAUUCCAGCCUCAACAGAGACCUAUGACAAUGCUGGAUCCUUUCCAUUCACUGUGCUGGGCCAGGGCUCAAACCUGAGCCACUGCAGUUAGAUUAUUAACCCACUGCACCGCAAAAGGAACCAAGAACCAUUUUUGUGUGUAUUUAGGGCCACACCCAUGACAUAUGGAGGUUCCCAGGCUAGGGAUCAAAUUGGAGCUGUAGCUGCCAGCCUCCACCACAGCCACAGCAACACAGGAUCUGAACCAAGUCUAUAACCCACACCCCAGCUCACGGCAAUGCCGGAUCCUUAAUCCAUUGAAUGAGGCCAGGGAUCGAACUCGUGUCCUCAUGGAUGCUAGUUAAUCACUGAGCCAUGAUGGGAACUCCAAGAACUGUUUUUAAAGGUUUCUUGUUAGAGCUUCCUUAGCCUUGGCACACCAGGCAGAGGGUGGCCCCUCAGUCACAUGGCAGAGCUUCCAACACUGCCACCUAUUUGGGUCUGGGGAGUGCCGGGAGCCUGGCAAACCUGGACCUCCUGUUGUGCUCUGGGCACCCUUUUAACAAGCCCUGGUGAAGCCUUUUGGAGAUGGACACUUUUUUUUCCUCCCAAAAAAAGUCUUCCCUAAUGAGCCCCUGUCACUAAGCUGUAGUGUAGGCGUGCACUGUGUUUAUGAAACCCUAGUCCAACAGUAAAAGUUCCCUGGGAGGGGCAGCUCUGACUGCCUGACCUCAGCCCACUACGUGGGGGGCAUAAGUGCCUUAAAGGCACUGAUAAUCAUUUUUAGUCUUAAACAUACCUUCCUCUCAGAGGCCCUUUACAAAAGUAAAAAGUUACUGAAUUGACAGUGGAUAAAAUCCAGUAUAUGAGAGCAGUAAGGAAGAAAGAAAAAAGCAAAAUGAAAUACCUGGGAGGUUUCUGUCACCCCAAAAAGUGUUUCAUGCCAUAAGCACCAAACAGCUCAGGCACUGGCAGAGGGAGAGACAGAAACCGCUGCUUGGCACACUCCAUUCUCCCAGCAUGGUCUGGAAGCAGAGCAGCAUUGCCAGGACUAAAUGCCCAGUGCCUUGCUUCCAGCAGAACACAUGUAACAAGGCACUGGACAGCCUGCAACGUGUGUGGAAGCCCAAAGGUGAUUCUGAGGUGGAGAGCACAGGUGGGGGCUUCGCCAUGCUCUGAACCACAGCCGGGCCCUGUGGCCUGCCUGCACUGGUGCCCUCUCCUGCCUGCUGUGGCCACCAAGGAGCCCACUCCAGCCCCAAGUUACAUAGCCCCCAAGCCUGUGCCGCCCACGGAAGAACACACUCUCCAGUCUCUGCAAGAUCUGGCAAAGGGGUAAAAACUUUGUUGUCUUUAUUAUAGCUAACUCUGCCCAAGCUCUGACACGGACUCCUGGUGAGCCCAGGGUAGUCACACUCCAAAUCCCCCUUGUGCCCCUCUGUGCCUCAGUACUACUCUGCAAUGACUCCUGCACCAGGCUUCCAGGGUCCUUUUUGACCAGUCCAGGCCGGUCUGCAUUCAGUUGUAAACUGUUACGUCACUAUCAUACUCUGCCAUACCUUUACCAGACCAAAAACUGAGACAGACUGCAGAGGGUAGGAAAUGAGCCUGUUUACAGAGCUAGGAAGAACACAUCUCUAUUAGCCAGAGGGACGUGUGAGAAAUCGGCCCUUUAUCACUUACGCUGCUGCUCCUCGCCCAUGGUGUCAGAGGCUCACCCUCCUGCUGGCCACCCCUCCCCACUUGGACUGGUUGUCCUCCACCUGGCACUAACGCUGUAGGGUGGUCCUUCGGUCCAUGACUUCCUUUAUCAUACUUCACAUGCUCUUCCUGCAAAAGCUUACAUCAUCCGUACAGAAUCAAUUACCACUUAAUUGCUAAUGACUGUCUCAGUCCAGGUCCAUCUCAAAGUCCAGCCACAUCCUACUCACUCUCCUGGCAGCGUCUCCAGCGCUGCAUGUCCAUACCACAGGCACACAUUCCCUCCUCCAAGCUGGCCGAGCUCUCCUCUUGGAGAGCUCACCUUCCACCACAGGGUCACUUUCCUGCCCCAAAUCCCAUCAGCUCUGAAGACAGCCUCUGUCUCUUUUCUCCCACCUCUCCCCUCUUCCCCAUCCACACAUUUACAGCCCUGGCCCAGCCCAUGGUCCUUCAGAUGGGGACCACCUGCCUUCAGCCUACUCCUCCAAGGCCCGUCUCAGGUGUGCCCUCCUCUGCGGUGAAGAGUCUCCACAGAACGAGCCAGCCCUUUACAAACAAGCAAAAAUGUCCCCUAAUGCAUUCUGGAUAUAUGCCUGUCAUAUUUGAUAUCUAUCUUGUUCGUCAUUUUACUUGCCUUUUAUUUUGUCCAGCAUGUUACCGAGUUCACAAAGCAAGUGUAAAUAAUGCCUGUCAAAGAGAAGCUGCUCAAAAAAGUUUACUUCAAAGAUGUUUUUAUAUUAAGUUGAAAUCUUACCUGUUUCAGCAAUAGAGUAUUGCGUUUCUCUUUAUAUAAUUACAUACACACAUUUAAUAAACACAUUACAAGAAGCCAAAUUCAACAUGCUCAAGGGAGAAGACAAACUUAAGAGCAUAGUAUAUCAAAGCCAGGACAGCGGUUUUUUUCUUCAGGGUGAGCAGGAGGGCCUGUGAGGACUAUCAAGCAUUACAGAGGGUUCUGACCGUGUUCUUUUGAUAUGGAUGAUAGUUACAUGAUGAUCUACUCUACAGAGAAUUGGUAACAUUACAGAAACACCCUAUACUGGGAUCAGCCUCACGCACCAGUGGGCAGGCCCAUCAGCAGGCUGACACCAGCCCUGGUCUCUGGCCCCACCAACCAGCAGGCCAACAGCAGGUCUGAGACACCUUGGGCCCCUCACCUCUGCCAUGAGGACCAGCCCCACCCACCAGAAGGCUGACACAAGCUUUGGGACACCCCAGACCCAUAGCCAGUUGUGUCAGCAACUGACUUUACCUACCAGCAGACCAACACCAGCUACAGGACAGAAGUCCAGAGCCUAGCUCCACCCACCAAUAAGCCAGCCCAAGCACUGGGACCCCUGGACAACGGCCCCACCCACCAGCAGUUGAACAUCAACUCUGGGACCUGGGGCCCUGCAACCAGGCUCUGCCUACCAGUGAGCCAGCAAUAGCCCCAAGACCCUGCUCCACGCCCACCGUGGAGGGCACCAGCCACAGGACCACCUAUCUCCAUGCCCCAAGGCACCCUACAGCCUGCCUCAUCAGAACCCUGCCAACACACCAGCAGGCCAGAACCAGCUAGGAUAACCUUGGACUCCUCAGUCAGCUACCACAGAAUCCAGUCCUACUCACCAGCAGGCCAGCACCAACUUUGGGACACCCUCGAACUCAGAGCCAGCCAUGUCAGGAUCCAGCUUCCCUGCCAGGAAGCCUCAGCACUGCAACCACCCACCCCAGAACCCAGCAGUAGCUCCAAGACCCCUCGGGUUUCACAUCCAGCUACCUUGUGACCUGGCCCCACUUACCAGGAUCAGGGCAGCCUCCACACCAGACAGGUACCAGCAUCCAAGCAGGCUGGGUUGCGGGGAGGGAGCCACACCUAUCAGACAGCCCAGAGAAGUUGUGGCCCACCUAGAGGACAUUCCUCGCCCAGGAAAAGGAAGUAUGUUGCUAGGGUGCACAGGAUGCCUCCUACAAAAGGCCACUUUGCCAGGUCGGGAAACAAAAGACCUGCUACAUACAGAGAAAUAAAAACAGCAAGUUAAGAAAAAUGAGGCAACAAAGGAACAUGUUCCAAACCACGGAGCAAAAUAAAACUCUGGAAAAACUAAGUGAGGUGGUGGUAGGCAGUCUCCGUAAGAGAGAGGAAGGUAAUAAUCGAUCAUAAAUGAUCCGAGAACUUGGGAGAAGAAUCAAUGAACAGAGUAGUUGUUAACAAAGAAAAUAAGAAGAACCAAA